This 1299-nucleotide long non-coding RNA is filed under the name Bos indicus x Bos taurus (hybrid cattle). Its description in RNAcentral is "lncRNA (ENSBIXG00005020052.1)". Lineage: Eukaryota; Metazoa; Chordata; Mammalia; Artiodactyla; Bovidae. The record is from RNAcentral.
AUGGAGGCUCUGACGACCCAGGCAAACGCCGCAGAUUCAGCUGCCACGCACACAGGAGCCCCGCCUGCCAUUCAAACCGUACUCGAAGAUGCUAAUCUUGAUGCAAGUAGUGGGGGAAAUGUGGGGCAGGAAAGCAUGGGUCCAAGAGAGGGUGAUGAGGUGGAAAAAAUGUCCAACCUCAGUCUGUGUCAGGAUAUGGAAGCUGAGGCCCCACAACCACAGGCAGCUCCCGAUCAAGCUAUAUGGCAGAGGGCUAACAUCAGGGGACGCAUAGGGAAGAAGAACAGCCGUAAAAGGAGGAAUAGGAAGGAAAGAAAGAUGGUGUAUCUUCCUUGUCCUCUGACGCUGCGGACUCGAGCAUCUUCGGCAGCCCCAGUUCUGGGUCACGCUCCUGUCCUGGGGCCUCUGUUAGGGGAUGUCAGUGUGGAGGGUGAAACCUGGGAGCAAAGGGAGAAUGGUGAGGGUAAAAAGGCAUCCAUUCUCAGUCAGUCUCGGAUGGCACCGGCUGGUGCCCUGUUGCCAGCAGCAAGUCCAACUCAGUCCUCUGCUGAGUGGAACUCUCUGGUGGACAACCAGGAGAUAAAAGUAGAGAAGGAAAACAGCCAUAAAGGGAGAAAUAAAAAGAAGAAGAUCAUGUGUAGCCCCUGGCCUCUUACGGUACAGGCUUGGGCAUCUUAUACGGACCCAGGUCCAUUACCCACAGCUCCGUUACCCACAGCUCCUGCUGGGGCUUCAGCAGUUGCUGAUGAUGGAGUCAACACUGGGCUUCAAAGCAGGGAUCGAAAGGAGGAGAAAGAUAAAAUGUCACUGGUUACUUCUUAUCAGAGUGCUCAGGCUGGCAGCCCGUGCUCAGAUGUGGCAUCGGGCCAUGGCUCACUGGAGGAGGUUUCCUUUGCUAAAGAUGGGUUGAAUGUAGGGGAGAAAAGCGGGUGUACGAAGAGGGAUAGAAAAGACCAAAGCGUCUUGUCUCCUUCUCGGCCUCUGACAGUCCAAGCUUGGACCUCAUUCAGAGCCAAAGAUGGGGUUCAGACUCUCUUGCAGGGUGAGUCUUCCAUGGCAAGCGUAAGGAUGGAUACGGGCCAGAAAGGCAGGCCUCAAGCGGAGAGUAGUAAGGAAGGAGCAAAGUCCAUUCUUCCUUGCCCUGUGAGGGUCCAGGCAGAUGCUUCCUUCGCAGCCAAAGCUCUGGGGCAGGAUUCAUUUGAGGGGACUUCUGCUCUGGAAGACCGAUUUUCCAAGCUGAGUCAAAGCAAGAGGGGGCCCCAGCAGGGAGAGGAGAGCCAAGUGCAGAGCAGUACAUAG